Molecule: long non-coding RNA, 1348 nt
Filed under: Gouania willdenowi (blunt-snouted clingfish)
Lineage: Eukaryota; Metazoa; Chordata; Actinopteri; Blenniiformes; Gobiesocidae
Description: lncRNA (ENSGWIG00000012393.1)
Source: RNAcentral
UUUUAAAUCACUGUAUACUAACCUAUUUCUUUAUUCAUUAAAUUACUUUUUUAUUUUAGGUUUAUUCCCUGACAGGGAUGGAACGCAAGGUUGGGUUCAGAGCUGGGCAGGACCUCCAGGUUUGGUCCCAGGUUUGCCUGAACCUCCGGGUUUGGUCCCAGGUUUGCCUGAACCUCCGGGUUUGGUCCCAGGCUGGGCUGAACUUCUGAGUUUGAUCCCGACCUGGUACUUAACUCCAGAAGCAGCAGAAGACACAGAAGCACCAGAAGACACAGAAGCCCCUGAGGAGGACCUUCCUGAGUGGACUGCUUUUUCCUUCUACGAGGUGACCCCUGUCUGGGAGACCCCUGAGGAGUCUGCUUCCUCAGCCUCCAGUGACUCUGAAGAUGACAGUCACUGCGAGCCUGGGGCGAAGAGGCCGAGACUGGACGACAGCUCUGACUCAUCUUAGAGUCAUCUGUGCUUUUCCUUUUCCUGCUCCUCUGGGUUGAGUUAUGUUAGAGUUAAGAAUUAGAGAAAACCUUUUUAAUCCCAGCAAGUGAGGACAGGAGGAGACUUUAUCAACCAAAACAAUGAGCACCAGCAUCCACAGCUGCCUGAGGAGAAACAUCAGCAGAAAGCAAAACAAUUAAUGUAAGUAAAGCCUCUCAUUGCCACAGAAAGACACUGAACUAAUGUUUAAUAUAAAAAUAGACGUGACUUUAUACUAAUGCCUGUAAAAUAUUGUACUGGAACAACGGCAUCCACUGAUGGAGGAGGAUGAUGAUGAAGAUGGAGGAUAGGAGCACCAGCAUCCUGAGGAGGAAAACAUCAGCACAGGACAGAAAGACUUCUAUUAACCAAUACAAUACAGGAGUGCCAGCAUCCACUGAUGGAGGAGGAUGAUGAAGAUGGAGGAUAGGAGCACCAGCAUCCACAGCUGCCUGAGGAGGAAACAUCAGCACAGGACAGAAAGACUUCUAUUCACCAAAACAAUCAAUAGUUUUGCUUCAGAGGAGAAUCAGACAGUUCCAGCUGUUCGUCACCAGCACUGCAGUGUUUACACAGACUGCUUUGGUUUCAACUUUCUACAAAAAACUGUUGAACUUUCAACUCACUUUCCAUCUGAAUCCAAGCUCAUCUUCAUCACUGGGAUGUUUCUUCAUCAGUUCUUCGUACAGACUGUCACAGCUCACACAUGGAGAAGAUGAUUUAUGGAAUAUGACAUUUAGACUUUUCCUUUUCUCAACAGUAUGAUGCAGUAUGAUGUUGAUUUAUUGAUCAUGUACAAUCUAAUGGUUCCCAGUUCUCUCCCAGUAGGUGUGACACGGACAUCUGCACACAUGUAAUGGUUUAUAAAUGAAUGCAC